RNAcentral lists this ribosomal RNA (249 nucleotides) under uncultured bacterium. Its description in RNAcentral is "partial 16S ribosomal RNA". It matches the Rfam family "Bacterial small subunit ribosomal RNA", at positions 524 to 776 of the family's 1533-position model. The record is from RNAcentral.
UACGAAGGGGCUAGCGUUGCUCGGAAUCACUGGGCGUAAAGGGUGCGUAGGCGGGUCUUUAAGUCAGGGUGAAAUCCUGGAGCUCAACUCCAGAACUGCCUUGAUACUGAAGAUCUUGAGUUCGGAGAGGUGAGUGGAACUGCGAGUGUAGAGGUGAAAUUCGUAGAUAUUCGCAAGAACACCAGUGGCGAAGGCGGCUCACUGGCCCGAUACUGACGCUGAGGCACGAAAGCGUGGGGAGCGAACAGG